This 21-nucleotide microRNA is filed under the name Glycine max (soybean). RNAcentral's name for it is "gma-miR399m". Its record names the gene gma-miR399m. Lineage: Eukaryota; Viridiplantae; Streptophyta; Magnoliopsida; Fabales; Fabaceae. The record is from miRBase by way of RNAcentral.
GGGCUCCUCUCUCCUGGCAUG